This 2006-nucleotide ribosomal RNA is filed under the name Triticum aestivum (bread wheat). Its description in RNAcentral is "partial small subunit ribosomal RNA". Lineage: Eukaryota; Viridiplantae; Streptophyta; Magnoliopsida; Poales; Poaceae. The record is from RNAcentral.
GGUGGAGCAGAUAGAGAUAGGAUAGAGAUAGGGGAGAGAGAGGCGGGGUGGGGAGAGAGAGAGGGCGAGCAGAGAGGGAGAGGGAGGACGCUCGUCGAUGCCACCGGUUAAGGCCGCUCGAGGCCGCCCUAAGCUGUUGCGGACGGGAUGUCAGCUCGCGGCGGGCUGGGGCGGAGGGAACUUGUGGCUCGAGGAGACACGGGGCGGGCGCAGGGACGCAGCGGCGGCGGCGGGGUGCGACGGAGCGCGGGCCUAGGACGACGCCCUCCAGGUCGGUGAGACCUAGGCCGGAGGAGGAGCGGCCUCACUGCGGGGAGCGGCUUCGUCGCGGCCGGUUCGGGUAGCCGGUGGUCUAAUGUCUCUCCUUUUACCGAGGUACGGUACCACAGCGACGACAAAUUUUAACGAGGUCUAAAGAACUUGUACUCCUCUACUACAGGCGGUUACUGAGCAUCUGACCCCCACCCGACUUCGAGGUUCGAACGACCGACCAUAAUGGUAAUGUAAUUGAAAGGAGAAUGAGUGUAGAUCAUGAGAUGAUCUGUUGUCUUUUUAUCUCAGGGUAUGUCCGAUACGGUCACAUAUCAACCUUUCGACAAAGACACAUCAACCAUGACAUACAACCAUGACAAACCCUUUGUAGCAGAAGGAGGCUACGGCGGUCGAACGAUCUAGGUAGCAGAAAAAAAAAAAAAACCUUUCGACAAAGACACAUCAACCAUGACAUACAAGGUCACCUAUCCCAAACCGGCCAAACAUGAUAACUCUUCUCGUCCCGUCUAAAUCGUGCCGAUUAAUCAAAGUGUUUUACGGAAGAAUACGUUGUCUUUUACGGAAGAACACGUUGUGUUUAAGAAAUGAUUAGAGAAUUCUUGUUUUAAGAAAUCCCAUCAGACACAAAAUGGGUGUUUUCUUUUUCACACAAUACAUUCUCCGCUUGGGACACCAUUGACAGACAUUGCCCGGUCGUAGCAAACUUGUCUAUUUUACCACAUUGUGAUGUAUUGAGCAACAGUCUAGAUCACAGUUCUUGCGAGAAUAUAAUACCCUACCUCCCUCAUCAACAGUCUAGAAGAAAAGCAAAUCAUGAACAACUCCGACAGUAUUAAAAGAAAAUGAGCUUUAAGACGAACCUAAAAGAUUAAUACGUAAAUGGUUCUAAUUACGAAUUUUGAUUUCAACCAGUAACCUAGAAAAAACCAAUCCGCUUAAAAUACAAACAUGUACGAACUAUACUUUCCUCCCCAAAUAAAUUACUUGAUGUGUAUACCAAAGUGUAAGGUGGAGACACGAGCGUUAAAUUUACGUCAUAUAAAAUGAGUGAUUAUGUAGAACUUGUUAGAUUUUUUAUAUAUCGAACCAAAUAGAAACAUUGAAGAAUCGACUAAAAAGGUAAAAGGUGUAACAACACAGAUAAAAGAGUCAAACCAGGACACAUUUAUGAACAGAAUCCCCAGAGACAUAACGUAUAUGUGCCUUAGAAGUUAAACAGAGUUUACGAGUCACCAUUUUUGGUCGGUACGAGCGUCAAGAAUAGUCACACCACCAUACGAUUGACAAAGACUAUAUUAAGACGAGAUUUUCGGGAUGUGAUAAAAACAGACACCUAUGCGGCACGUAUGUUUACGACUCAAUUUUUCAGUAUUGAAAUGUGAUUAAAUUCUAACAGAAUAGAGUUCACGACCGAGGAUGUCGUAACGUAAAGUGGUUCACUUUACGAUGUAAAGAUGAGGAUUGGGUAAGAAAGAAAGAAUCACAAAAACAAUACGUCCAACCUUCUUUUCUUCUUCUAGCUCUCUUCUAGAAUCAUUAUUCUAUCAAAAAUCCUUUUAUCUAUAAAUCAAAAUUCAGUAAAGAACAUUAAAGUAUAUACCUCACGAAGAGAAAUCAAAAACAAAAAUGAAACACUUUGAACGAUGGAUACCUACUUUGAAACAUUAUAACUACUUUGAUACAUAUACAUACCUACUUUGAACGAUGAUAACCAUUGUACACAACCUAUAGGA